Molecule: long non-coding RNA, 2108 nt
Filed under: Mus musculus (house mouse)
Lineage: Eukaryota; Metazoa; Chordata; Mammalia; Rodentia; Muridae
Description: long non-coding RNA chr9:13707288-13709396
Source: RNAcentral
CUGGUCCUGAUUAUGCUGAAAUACCAGUGCACAACAGCCUGUAUCGAAUUUCACUUCAAAAAAAAAAAAAAAAAGUUAAGCCUUGCCAUGUAGGAAAAAAACAUGGCCACGAAUGACCAGCAGUGUUGCUCACUGUGAUUAAUAGCCACUGGUCUGUUCCCAAGCAGAAUGAAAUGGAGCCUCCUAGGUCUUGGUAGCCAGAGACUGGUUUGUAAAAAAAAAAAAAAGAAAAGAAAAGAAAGAAAGAAAGGAAUGAAAGUGUGAAUUAGAGUCAGAUUAGAGAAUAUCCUGUUUUGGUUGAAGGUAAGAAACAGGGAGAGGCAUGAGAGGGCACGAAGCAUUUCACAGAGCUCAGAGGAAACAGUACCUGACAGACAGUAUAGCUUUUCCUUGGACAUACUACAUGGACUUAGGUGAGCAGCUAAGCCCAGUGUGGUCUCUGUGGAGCCACCCACUCACUAUUCAUGAUGCAGCAAGCCCUUGCCAUAUGGUGCCUGGCCCUUCUUAUCCAGGUUUCCUCCCUCAGGGCUGAGUGUUAUAGCAGAACAUGCAUGUGUCUGGGUCACGGAACCUCAGUGCACACAUCUAUGUACACUGCAAAGUGGAGCUGGUAUCCAGGUUUGAAAGGCAUCUAAAAGAGCACUACCACCUUCCUAAAUCCAGAGAAUCAAAGGCUACUUUCAAUCUUUGAGUUAGCAAUGCACACACUAAAAUACCAAGUGUGAUUGACUUGAAGUUAUCAAGCACCUGAUCUUCACAAACCUGUUCAGAAAAGGAACACGGUUUUUUAAAGCUCUGCAAAGUCCUCUUCUUGUCUUUACGAUGGCUUUGGGCUCUCUGUCUUUCCCACUGCACCAAUAUCACUGGCCCAGAGUAUUUUCUGUGCUGGUUUGUAAAUAUUAAUAAAUUUCUUGUUUUGUAAACUUUUGUAAAGAAUAUUUUGGUAGAAAUACUUAAAACAUAUUCUUUGGAUUAUAUUUAUACAUAUGUGAAAUAAAUAUACUAUCGAAAGGUUAUAUUUUAUACAAAAAGUAAAUUGUUACCUUUUGUAUGCUAAUAUACAAAGUUUUGUAUCAUACAAUGGUUUAUUUUUAGCUCUACAUUUAAACCAUACGUGAUUGAGUGGAAGCUUUGAAAACCCACUAAGAGGCUUGUUAGGUAAAUGUGUAUCCUGAGACCUCCCUCAGAAAGCAUUCCUGGGUCCAUCCCUCCCUGUUCUUGUUUUCCAGCUCAGAUCCUUUAUGAAGCCCAGAGUCCUCAUGUCUCAUUUGAUGAUUCUGCUGUGCACACAACAGUUCCUGUUGCAUGUGUCCUACUGUGUGUCUCCCCAUUAUACAAAACAGUGUUUCUCCAUGAGAACAGAGAGGGAAAACAAUGUAUAUAUAUAAACGCCAUGGUUUUGUGGCUCCUCCAGAUGGCUGGACAUAUCUGCAGGACUUCUCAGUCUCCGACCAUAUAAUUCAGCUUGUUUCUCCCUAACCCAAACAGUACAUUCUACAGCAGCUGUCCAGUUGUCCAACUGAAGAGGCAAAGGAAACAACAUGGCUGGUUUUUCUUCUCUUAAUGUGAAUUUCAUAAUUAAUGUCUAUUUAUUCAGCUAUUCAUUAAAAUACAGGAUUCUUUGGGGGAGACAGUAUAGCCUAUAGUUUUUCUGUUUGUUAGCAGCCUAUUACCAAAGAUGAUGUAAUUUUCCUGAAAGCUGAGAUAAUGACAAUUUGAUAGACAAACUUAGUAAGAGCCUCAGGAUUUACAAUGUAAGAGCUAUUGGGAUACAAACUCCCAUUUAUAGACAUGCUAGACUACUUAGUUGCUGACAUUGUUUAUCAUUCUGACAUCUAACAGAGAAAGUAAGAGUCGUUUGUCUUUCUUCUACUUCCUUCUUCCCUCCUUCCUCCCUCCUCCUCCUCCUCCUAAUUCAGAGACUAGAAAGUAAUGUAGGCAAAUAAUUCCUUCUUGGCUUUGUGUUCAGCCUAAUGAAUGGAGUCACUGAAUGAAAUGCUAAUGUCACCUGCAUUGCUGUCCUGAACCCACGAAUGUAAAGAUUUCAACUUGUAAUACAAGCAUUUUGUAUUGUGUGUAAUUCCAUGUGUAAAAAAAUAGUUUAAAAC